This is a non-coding RNA of Schizophyllum commune H4-8, 81 nucleotides long. The record is from Rfam. NCBI's taxonomy places the organism in Eukaryota, Fungi, Basidiomycota, Agaricomycetes, Agaricales, Schizophyllaceae.
UGCCCCCUGGCCCAGCUGGUUAAGGCGUGUGACUGUUAAUGCACAAUCACAAGAUCGUGAGUUCGAGCCUCACGGGGGCAG